RNAcentral lists this ribosomal RNA (404 nucleotides) under uncultured bacterium. RNAcentral's name for it is "bacterial SSU rRNA". It matches the Rfam family "Bacterial small subunit ribosomal RNA", at positions 355 to 776 of the family's 1533-position model. The record is from RNAcentral. RNAcentral also lists the same sequence under 1 other name.
UGGGGAAUCUUGCGCAAUGGGCGAAAGCCUGACGCAGCCAUGCCGCGUGAAUGAUGAAGGUCUUAGGAUUGUAAAAUUCUUUCAGCGGGGACGAUAAUGACGGUACCCGCAGAAGAAGCCCCGGCUAACUUCGUGCCAGCAGCCGCGGUAAUACGAAGGGGGCUAGCGUUGCUCGGAAUUACUGGGCGUAAAGGGAGCGUAGGCGGAUAGUUUAGUCAGAGGUGAAAGCCCAGGGCUCAACCUUGGAAAUGCCUUUGAUACUGGCUAUCUUGAGUAUGGGAGAGGUAAGCGGAAUUCCGAGUGUAGAGGUGAAAUUCGUAGAUAUUCGGAAGAACACCAGUGGCGAAGGCGGCUUACUGGCCCAUUACUGACGCUGAGGCUCGAAAGCGUGGGGAGCAAACAGG